CCUUCGUCCCUGCAAGGCCCUGGGCCUUCUGAACGCUUCGGAACACCUUGCGUCUGCAUCGGCAUGCAUCCACCACUCCCGGAAAGGGUCUCGGUGACCUCUAAUCUCUCCAGAAAUUCGCCAGAUACAUAAUGUCAGAGUUGAACUCAAGGACAAGGACUCUUAUGCAUCCUCCUCAUCAUGAUGAUCGUCAUCCAGUCGUCUAUUUAUUUUUGAGAGUGCUUGUAAAUUCCAAUGAAACCAGUUGAAGAGAUGAAGUCAUACUCGUUCGUACAACAAAGUAUAAACUCCUUGAAAACCUUUUGUACAAGUGGCUCAAUUUUCAUGGGAAAGUAAGAUAAACUUUGUACCGGAAUAAAUAAUAAAGCUUUCUUCCUCUCGUCUA
This is a long non-coding RNA of Folsomia candida, 385 nucleotides long. RefSeq lists it as uncharacterized. The record is from RefSeq and is a predicted model, not a curated record. The transcript is spliced from 2 exons. NCBI's taxonomy places the organism in Eukaryota, Metazoa, Arthropoda, Collembola, Entomobryomorpha, Isotomidae.